CGGGCUCCGGUUCACCCCGGUCGGUGUUCGACCGAUCCGAGGACCCGGCGCC
RNAcentral lists this non-coding RNA (52 nucleotides) under unclassified sequences. RNAcentral describes it as "L31-Actinobacteria ribosomal protein leader". It matches the Rfam family "L31-Actinobacteria ribosomal protein leader". The record is from RNAcentral.